AGCCGGAAUAGCUCAGUUGGUAGAGCAGAGGACUGAAAAYC
RNAcentral lists this transfer RNA (41 nucleotides) under Rhynchostegium riparioides. RNAcentral describes it as "partial tRNA-Phe". Lineage: Eukaryota; Viridiplantae; Streptophyta; Bryopsida; Hypnales; Brachytheciaceae. The record is from RNAcentral.